GGGAAAACAGAAACAUAUAGUUUUUGUAUAUUUUGCUUUGGUUUUUGUUUCUCCAUUCCGCAGGUCCUUUAGAUCAUACCUCGACUUUGAAGACAUUGGAGACCAGGCUGAGGUAGCGAGUCGUGUUAGCAUUUGUGACUUCUAGUCCAAGAGAAUCCAGUGCCUCCAUUAGCCUUGUGAAGCCUCCUGGUUUGUAUUCGCAAAUCACCUUUACGAAAAACUCUCUGCCAUCUAACUGAGCCACGUCCACCUGUGGCUGAAACUCCGCAACCCAACAUAAACCGAUAUCAUGAGGUUUUGAUUUUAGAGUUCAGAUUAGAAGAAAGGAACGUUGGAGUUACAUGAAAG
This is a long non-coding RNA of Arabidopsis thaliana (thale cress), 348 nucleotides long. RefSeq annotates it as other RNA. The record is from RefSeq. The transcript is spliced from 2 exons. NCBI's taxonomy places the organism in Eukaryota, Viridiplantae, Streptophyta, Magnoliopsida, Brassicales, Brassicaceae.